This 39-nucleotide small RNA is filed under the name Arabidopsis thaliana (thale cress). Its description in RNAcentral is "ATSL192080". The record is from RNAcentral. Lineage: Eukaryota; Viridiplantae; Streptophyta; Magnoliopsida; Brassicales; Brassicaceae.
AAAAAGAAGAAAAGAAAAAGAAAAAGAAGAAGAGGACAA